This 433-nucleotide ribosomal RNA is filed under the name uncultured bacterium. RNAcentral describes it as "partial 16S ribosomal RNA". It matches the Rfam family "Bacterial small subunit ribosomal RNA", at positions 29 to 507 of the family's 1533-position model. The record is from RNAcentral.
AACGAACGCUGGCGGCAUGCCUAACACAUGCAAGUCGAACGAGACCUUCGGGUCUAGUGGCGCACGGGUGCGUAACGCGUGGGAACCUGCCCUUAGGUUCGGAAUAACUCCCCGAAAGGGGUGCUAAUACCGGAUAAUGUCUUCGGACCAAAGAUUUAUCGCCUUUGGAUGGGCCCGCGUUGGAUUAGCUAGUUGGUAGGGUAAAAGCCUACCAAGGCGACGAUCCAUAGCUGGUCUGAGAGGAUGAUCAGCCACACUGGGAGUGAGACACGGCCCAGAAUCCUACGGGAGGGAGCAGAGGGGAAUAUUGGACAAUGGGCGAAAGGCUGAAGGAGCAAUGCCGCGUGAGUGAUGAAGGCAUUAGGGUUGUAAAGCUCUUUUAACCGGGAUGAUAAUGACGGUACCGGGAGAAUAAGCCCCGGCUAACUACGUG